RNAcentral lists this ribosomal RNA (253 nucleotides) under uncultured bacterium. RNAcentral describes it as "partial 16S ribosomal RNA". It matches the Rfam family "Bacterial small subunit ribosomal RNA", at positions 524 to 776 of the family's 1533-position model. The record is from RNAcentral.
UACGAAGGGGGCUAGCGUUGCUCGGAAUCACUGGGCGUAAAGGGUGCGUAGGCGGGUCUUUAAGUCAGGGGUGAAAUCCUGGAGCUCAACUCCAGAACUGCCUUUGAUACUGAGGAUCUUGAGUUCGGGAGAGGUGAGUGGAACUGCGAGUGUAGAGGUGAAAUUCGUAGAUAUUCGCAAGAACACCAGUGGCGAAGGCGGCUUACUGGUCCGGUUCUGACGCUGAGGCGCGAAAGCGUGGGGAGCAAACAGG